Molecule: transfer RNA, 73 nt
Filed under: Ovis aries (sheep)
Lineage: Eukaryota; Metazoa; Chordata; Mammalia; Artiodactyla; Bovidae
Rfam family: tRNA
About the family: Transfer RNA (tRNA) molecules are approximately 80 nucleotides in length. Their secondary structure includes four short double-helical elements and three loops (D, anti-codon, and T loops).
Source: Rfam by way of RNAcentral
UCCCUGGUGGUCCAGUGGCUAAGACUCCAUGCUUCCAAUGUAGGGGGCCCAGGUUCAAUCCCUGUCCGGGGAA